AUGAAGCUCAUGCCGACCGUCUUCUGCCUUCUCCUCGUCGUCCUUGCAUUGGGUGGGGCUCGUGUGGAGGCUCGAGGCACACCUUCGGCUGAUCAGGGGUCAAAGAACCAAUGGUCCAGCAUGUUCGUCUUCGGCGAUGGCUUCGUCGACAACGGCAACCUCCCAAAGACCGACACAUGGCGUCAAUGGAGCUAUCCCUAUGGCUCCUAUCUCAACUCUCGUGGAUCUGCGACUCCUGUUCCAACUGGACGCCUUUCCAACUAUUGGAUUCAAUCUGACUUCAUCGCAAGGAUCUUGGGCCUCAAUGAAGCCCCUCCAUCGUACAGGCUCACGCCACAUCUAUCUUGCGACCCAUCUGGCAUGACCUUUGCUUUCGGCGGUGCUGGCGUCUACGAGGUGCCGGACAAGAAGGUGCCGACCCUUGCCACACAGGUUAAUGCUUUCACGAGGCUACUUAAUACUGGGGUAAUCUCAAAACAACAGCUUCAGAGCUCCGUCGCUCUCGUCUCCAUCUCCGGCAGUGACUACAUGACUGGUGCCAACGUCGACAAUGCCUUCUUGAGUAGCUUCGAUGAUAUUGAUAGUUAUAUUGGGAACGUGACGACUGAGAUUGCGAAGAACGUGGGGAAGCUACAGAGGCUAGGUGUGAGAAAGGUACUAGUGAACAACAUGCAUCCCAUUGGCUGCACGCCUUUGCGGACUAGUGCGAACAACUACACGACAUGCGACCUUCUGGCAAACUAUGCCGCAACUGUGCACAACAACAAUAUAGAACACCUGAUGGGGAACAAGAAUAAUGCCCACAUACUGGACCUCUACACUGCCUUCACUGACAUCGUUAAUCACGCCCCGGGUGAAGGGUCGGAGCAGUCAAACAAUUUCAAGCGCAAGCUGACACCUUGCUGUGAGGCUUCCACCGAGCUGGGGUACUGUGGACAGGUUAGCCCUUCAGGGAAGCGCCUCUACGACCUAUGCAAGAAUCCUGAAAAGAAUUUCUACUGGGAUGAGACUUACCCGACGACCGCUGGGUGGGAAGCUGUUACAGAGGCACUAGAAGAACCUUUGAGGGAGUUCCUAGAUCGGGACUAUGUUCCAUGA
This 1098-nucleotide ribosomal RNA is filed under the name Triticum aestivum (bread wheat). RNAcentral describes it as "partial small subunit ribosomal RNA". Lineage: Eukaryota; Viridiplantae; Streptophyta; Magnoliopsida; Poales; Poaceae. The record is from RNAcentral.